UUAUAUGAUGAUCUUCCACACUCACGACGGUCUACUGUGCCCAAGAUACGUGGCUUUGAUGAUAUUCGCCUAUGACAUGGCGUGGACCUGAUU
This 93-nucleotide small nucleolar RNA is filed under the name Sugiyamaella lignohabitans. Its description in RNAcentral is "Candida lignohabitans Small nucleolar RNA snR73". It matches the Rfam family "Small nucleolar RNA snR73". Lineage: Eukaryota; Fungi; Ascomycota; Dipodascomycetes; Dipodascales; Trichomonascaceae. The record is from Rfam by way of RNAcentral.